This 599-nucleotide ribosomal RNA is filed under the name Staphylococcus aureus. Its description in RNAcentral is "partial 23S ribosomal RNA". It matches the Rfam family "Bacterial large subunit ribosomal RNA", at positions 2324 to 2925 of the family's 2925-position model. Lineage: Bacteria; Bacillati; Bacillota; Bacilli; Caryophanales; Staphylococcaceae. The record is from RNAcentral.
AGAAUGGUUGGAAAUCAUUCAUAGAGUGUAAAGGCAUAAGGGAGCUUGACUGCGAGACCUACAAGUCGAGCAGGGUCGAAAGACGGACUUAGUGAUCCGGUGGUUCCGCAUGGAAGGGCCAUCGCUCAACGGAUAAAAGCUACCCCGGGGAUAACAGGCUUAUCUCCCCCAAGAGUUCACAUCGACGGGGAGGUUUGGCACCUCGAUGUCGGCUCAUCGCAUCCUGGGGCUGUAGUCGGUCCCAAGGGUUGGGCUGUUCGCCCAUUAAAGCGGUACGCGAGCUGGGUUCAGAACGUCGUGAGACAGUUCGGUCCCUAUCCGUCGUGGGCGUAGGAAAUUUGAGAGGAGCUGUCCUUAGUACGAGAGGACCGGGAUGGACAUACCUCUGGUGUACCAGUUGUCGUGCCAACGGCAUAGCUGGGUAGCUAUGUGUGGACGGGAUAAGUGCUGAAAGCAUCUAAGCAUGAAGCCCCCCUCAAGAUGAGAUUUCCCAACUUCGGUUAUAAGAUCCCUCAAAGAUGAUGAGGUUAAUAGGUUCGAGGUGGAAGCAUGGUGACAUGUGGAGCUGACGAAUACUAAUCGAUCGAAGACUUAAUCAA